Molecule: ribosomal RNA, 639 nt
Filed under: Trichoderma harzianum
Lineage: Eukaryota; Fungi; Ascomycota; Sordariomycetes; Hypocreales; Hypocreaceae
Description: eukaryotic LSU rRNA
Rfam family: 5.8S ribosomal RNA (bases 267-420)
Source: RNAcentral
UGGAAGUAAAAAUCGUAACAAGGUCUCCGUUGGUGAACCAGCGGAGGGAGGGAUCAUUACCGAGAGAGUUUGUAAUUCAUUGCAACGGAUGUGACGUUACACAAACUGUUGCCUCGGCGGGAUCUCUGCCCCGGGUGCGUCGCAGCCCCGGACCAAGGCGCCCGCCGGAGGACCAACCAAAACUCUUAUUGUAUACCCCCUCGCGGGUUUUUUUUAUAAUCUGAGCCUUCUCGGCGCCUCUCGUAGGCGUUUCGAAAAUGAAUCAAAACUUUCAACAACGGAUCUCUUGGUUCUGGCAUCGAUGAAGAACGCAGCGAAAUGCGAUAAGUAAUGUGAAUUGCAGAAUUCAGUGAAUCAUCGAAUCUUUGAACGCACAUUGCGCCCGCCAGUAUUCUGGCGGGCAUGCCUGUCCGAGCGUCAUUUCAACCCUCGAACCCCUCCGGGGGGUCGGCGUUGGGGAUCGGCCCUGCCUUGGCGGUGGCCGUCUCCGAAAUACAGUGGCGGUCUCGCCGCAGCCUCUCCUGCGCAGUAGUUUGCACACUCGCAUCGGGAGCGCGGCGCGUCCACAGCCGUUAAACACCCAACUUCUGAAAUGUUGACCUCGGAUCAGGUAGGAAUACCCGCUGAACUUAAGCAUAU